Molecule: ribosomal RNA, 1021 nt
Filed under: Paraconiothyrium fuscomaculans
Lineage: Eukaryota; Fungi; Ascomycota; Dothideomycetes; Pleosporales; Didymosphaeriaceae
Description: SSU rRNA
Rfam family: Eukaryotic small subunit ribosomal RNA
Source: RNAcentral
UAUACCGUGAAACUGCGAAUGGCUCAUUAAAUCAGUUAUCGUUUAUUUGAUAGUACCUUACUACUUGGAUAACCGUGGUAAUUCUAGAGCUAAUACAUGCUAAAAACCCCAACUUCGGGAGGGGUGUAUUUAUUAGAUAAAAAACCAAUGCCCUUCGGGGCUCCUUGGUGAUUCAUGAUAACUUCUCAGAUCGCAUAGCCUUGUGCUGGCGACGGUUCAUUCAAAUUUCUGCCCUAUCAACUUUCGAUGGUAAGGUAGUGGCUUACCAUGGUUUCAACGGGUAACGGGGAAUUAGGGUUCGAUUCCGGAGAGGGAGCCUGAGAAACGGCUACCACAUCCAAGGAAGGCAGCAGGCGCGCAAAUUACCCAAUUCCGAUGCGGAGAGGUAGUGACAAUAAAUACUGAUACAGGGCUCUUUUGGGUCUUGUAAUUGGAAUGAGUACAAUUUAAACCUCUUAACGAGGAACAAUUGGAGGGCAAGUCUGGUGCCAGCAGCCGCGGUAAUUCCAGCUCCAAUAGCGUAUAUUAAAGUUGUUGCAGUUAAAAAGCUCGUAGUUGAACCUUUGGCCUGGCUGGCAGGUCCGCCUCACCGCGUGCACUUGUCCGGCCGGGCCUUUUCUUCUGGAGAACCGCAUGCCCUUCACUGGGUGUGUUGGGGACCAGGACUUUUACUUUGAAAAAAUUAGAGUGUUCAAAGCAGGCCUUUGCUCGAAUACGUUAGCAUGGAAUAAUAGAAUAGGACGUGCGGUCCUAUUUUGUUGGUUUCUAGGACCGCCGUAAUGAUUAAUAGGGACAGUCGGGGGCAUCAGUAUUCAAUUGUCAGAGGUGAAAUUCUUGGAUUUAUUGAAGACUAACUACUGCGAAAGCAUUUGCCAAGGAUGUUUUCAUUAAUCAGUGAACGAAAGUUAGGGGAUCGAAGACGAUCAGAUACCGUCGUAGUCUUAACCAUAAACUAUGCCGACUAGGGAUCGGGCGGUGUUUCUAUUGUGACCCGCUCGGCACCUUACGAGAAAUCAAAGUG